Long non-coding RNA from Sapajus apella (tufted capuchin), 1357 nucleotides. RefSeq lists it as uncharacterized. The record is from RefSeq and is a predicted model, not a curated record. NCBI's taxonomy places the organism in Eukaryota, Metazoa, Chordata, Mammalia, Primates, Cebidae. The transcript has 2 exons.
CUCCUUCCUGUUGGGGUUUGGGGGGGGAGGCCGUCACCGUGUGAGCUGAGGAGCUCCUGGACGACCGCUGCAUGUUCUCAGCAAGGCAGGACCCAUUGGGCUGCUUAGAAAUGCACACAUCAGAGCCCAGGACCAGUGCUUGUCCACAGCAGGACAGACAUCGAGUCUGCAAAAUGGCUUUUCCAUGGAAUAUGUCACAACUCCACCGGGCAGGGAAGCUCUCCAAGAAGCAGAAACACAUUUUACCCAUGUGGAAAAGAUCAGACAGAAAUGUUCUAAGUACCUGCUGAGUAACUGGGUUUUCCAUGCAGUUCCGAUUCGCACAGACUCGUGGUGGCUUUUACUCUGUGAAGAACACAGAUAACAGCAAGAUGAUGUGUGGAUUAAACAUGCAUCGAAGGUAGAAAUUAAUAAUGACAGAAAUAACUCACUCUUGUUUAAUUCUUUAUAGCCUGGAAAGUUAUUUUCUCAGUUAUAGAUUUACUGAAAAUCAUGUCACUUUUCAGGCCAAUGAAGGGCUCAUGAAUUUGCUUCAGAAAGUACAAGGAUAAAGUCAUAGAUGAUUUUUAGAGCUGAUGUCGUUUCCUGGAAGGCCAGAAAGAAAAUGCAGUCCAGUCUCCUGACUCCAGGUAGUUGUGCUCUAGGAAGUGAACACUGAGGUUGUGAGGACCAGCUCACGUUGGAAAUGUGUGUGUGCCCUCAUACACAUCACGGUGAUCCGAAUCUGAAAUCCUAACAGCUCACCCUGGUACAUUCUAUUUCCUUUUGUUUUUCAAAAGAGAAGCGUCAAGUGGCGCUGCCCCACCAGCGGGUGCCAGAGUUGGGUUCAAGCCCAACUGACUGGCCCCCCGGCCACGCCCACGAGCUGCCCUUCUCUCUGUACUCUGGGCACCUCCAGGAGAGCCAGGACCAAAGUCUGGGCAGGAGCCGUGUCCAGCACAAGACUCACCGUGCCCCAUGUGUGUCAGUGUAUGGCUGCAAGGCACAGGGUGUGUUGAUGUGGGGUCCCGGUGAAUUACAGUGAGCAGAGGAAUUCACAGAAUGGGCUUCAGGAACAGCAGGAUCAAGAUCAUGUCACAAAACCCCUGUGGGAAAAGCUGUGGGAGACUGGGUGGCUGCUGGGGGCCACCAGAGGUCAUAGGGGGCCACGGCGGCUGCUGCCACUGCCUCGGGGCUCUGGUUCUGCGGCGUGCACCUUGCAUCUUAUACCACUGUGGUGCUGAGGGCUGGCGGACCGCAGGGUGUAUCCUGGAAGCUGGCUUCUGAAUCCAGCUCGGAGCACGGUGGUGAGAAUUCCAGAAGCCUUGGGUGGGUGGGAGUCAGCAUUCUUGGCUUGGCAAGUUUUCUUCUCCCUUCU